RNAcentral lists this non-coding RNA (30 nucleotides) under Mus musculus (house mouse). Lineage: Eukaryota; Metazoa; Chordata; Mammalia; Rodentia; Muridae. The record is from RNAcentral.
UCCUCUCAACAUUGAAAGAAGUAGGAGUGU